GAUUAGAGUUUGAUCAUGGCUCAGAUUGAACGCUGGCGGCAUGCCUAACACAUGCAAGUCGAACGGCAGCACGGGGGCAACCCUGGUGGCGAGUGGCGGACGGGUGAGGAAUACAUCGGAAUCUACCUUCUGGUGGGGGAUAACCAGCCGAAAGGCUGGCUAAUACCGCAUAAGACCGAGAGGUGAAAGCGGGGGACCGAAAGGCCUCGCGCGAGAAGAUGAGCCGAUGUCCGAUUAGCUAGUUGGCGGGGUAAGAGCCCACCAAGGCGACGAUCGGUAGCUGGUCUGAGAGGAUGAUCAGCCACACUGGGACUGAGACACGGCCCAGACUCCUACGGGAGGCAGCAGUGGGGAAUAUUGGACAAUGGGCGCAAGCCUGAUCCAGCAAUGCCGCGUGUGUGAAGAAGGCCUUCGGGUUGUAAAGCACUUUUAUCGGGAGCGAAAAGCGGCCGGCUAAUACCCGGUCGUGCUGACGGUACCCGAGGAAUAAGCACCGGCUAACUUCGUGCCAGCAGCCGCGGUAAUACGAAGGGUGCAAGCGUUAAUCGGAAUUACUGGGCGUAAAGCGUGCGUAGACGGCCUUUUAAGUCUGCUGUGAAAGCCCUGGGCUCAACCUGGGAACUGCAGUGGAUACUGUGAGGCUGGAGUGCGGUAGAGGAUGGUGGAAUUCCCGGUGUAGCGGUGAAAUGCGUAGAGAUCGGGAGGAACAUCAGUGGCGAAGGCGGCCAUCUGGACCAGCACUGACGUUGAGGCACGAAAGCGUGGGGAGCAAACAGGAUUAGAUACCCUGGUAGUCCACGCCCUAAACGAUGCGAACUGGACGUUGGGGCACAACUCGGUGCUCAGUGUCGAAGCUAACGCGUUAAGUUCGCCGCCUGGGGGAGUACGCUCGCAAGAGUGAAACUCAAAGGAAUUUGACGGGGGCCCGCACAAGCGUGGGAGUAUGUGGUUUAAUUCGAUGCAACGCGCAGAACCCUUACCCUGGCCUUGACAUGUCGCGAACCCCUGCAGAAGAUGCGGGGGUGCCUUCUGGAAUGCGAAACACAAGGUGGCUUGCAUGGGCUGU
Molecule: ribosomal RNA, 1066 nt
Filed under: uncultured bacterium
Lineage: Bacteria
Description: bacterial SSU rRNA
Rfam family: Bacterial small subunit ribosomal RNA
Source: RNAcentral